This is a long non-coding RNA of Rhinolophus ferrumequinum (greater horseshoe bat), 3546 nucleotides long. RefSeq lists it as uncharacterized. The record is from RefSeq and is a predicted model, not a curated record. The transcript has 3 exons. Lineage: Eukaryota; Metazoa; Chordata; Mammalia; Chiroptera; Rhinolophidae.
UUCUUCACUAAGCAUCACGGUAGCUUUUGGUGUGGGCACGCACACAUGUGCGCACAUACACACAUUUAUCAAAUUAGAGUAUCUAUCCCUAUUUAUCAGUCAUCGAUGGAGAGUUUUCUCCUUUGAUCUAUUGUGUAAUAUAUUAACAUAUUUUCUAAUAUCCAACCCUUCUUAUAUUCCUGAAAUGAAUCCUGCUUAGUUGUGGUGUAUAUUUAUUUUAAUAUUCUAAUUUGCAAUUUUUGCAUAUUCCAAAAGAUUGACAUUUAAUUAUCUACCAUAAAUGCAGCAUUGUUUAGAAUGGCCCCAAACUGGAAAUAACUUGAUGCCUACCAAUUAAUGAUGUAUUUGAAGAGAGAGUGGUAGAGUCAUAUAAUUGAGGAGAAUGUGGACCUUUAAAAAAUGAGGAAGAUCUAUAAUAUUACGGGAAAAUGUCCAAGAUUAAUGAAAAAAGCUGAUAUGCAAGUUGAAUAUGUUUAAUAUGACUCCAUUUGUGUUAAAUAAUGCUAAUAUUAAUAGUAAUAACAUGUAGUACUAUAAUUUUGUGUGCAUCGAACAUUUCUGGAAAGAUACAGUUAACAGUGCUGGCGCAGUGGGGGCAGUGGUGUGAAGGGCGGGGCCUCCCUUUUUACUGUAUACCUCUUUGUAAUGUUGGAGUCUUUUUCAUAAUAAGCCUACCUUAUCCUUUACUAAAAAAGUUAGUUUUAAAAAAGCUAAAGAUAAAAACUGUAAUGCUAAUGAGGAAGGGGGGAAAAGUAUUUUAUGCCUUUUCUUGGAUCACUUGCAUAUAGGCAGCCCUGACAUUGCUUAUCCAUUAAAGAUUUUCCUAACUUCAUUUAACAAACAUGUAUUGAUCCCCUUACACUGUUACAUGCUGGAUCUCUGCCAUAAAUACACCCGUCAGUAGCUCCUCCUAGUGAGUGAAGCGUGUGAACAAGGUGUCUCUGAGUGAUUCCAGCGGGCACUGAGUCCAGAAGUCUUGUACACCAUGUUGAGUGUGGACUUUACCCUGAUGGAAACUCACUGAGUAGCUUUUAGGGCGGAAGCAGUUGUGAUUAGCUGUAACUUGUAUCACUCCUCUGGCUGCAGUAUGGAUCCCAGCUGGAAAAGCACAAGACUGGAGGCCAGAAUACCAAUGCAGGGCGGUUGGAGUCAUCUAGGUGGCCACAUUCUCAGCUAAAAAUCAUGUGUUCUAUAACUGUAAAAGAAAGGGGGAAAGUGCAUCAGUUUCCGCUGGUGAUGCUGAAACAGACUUCAAAAUUUCAGUACGUUGCAUGGGGUCGAGGUCAGAAAUUUGGUGCCUGAAUCCUACCAGUCCCUGCUUUGCAACCUGCCAAGGAGUUUGUAACCAUAAGGAAGAGCAGCCAAUCAGAAAGAAAGUACCACUCAUAUAACUAGAAAAACACUCCGAUUGCAGGACUUCUCAGGUAAGCCGUGAUGAAACAACCCAUCUUCCCUUACCUUUUAUAGAAAAAGCCUGGCUCAAGAAAGCCCCAAGUCCAAUUUCCCACUUUGUUUGGAAGAGAGGAUGACAGGCCUGACCCCUAAGAGGGCAAGUGACUGCACAUGGUUUCUGACCUAUUAGCACAGCAACCAUGUUCAUUUGUGAAAAUACAGCCCCAUGAAUAUCUUGAGCUCACUUUAAUCUGAUGAGUCCUCUUACCUUAUGGGGGUGACAAGGAAGGAGGCUCGUGAGGAGUAGCACUUCCUAUAUAUGGAGCCCAUUUAACAUUGCUUAGAGCCUUCAGUGCCACACUUUGGUGUGGAUCAUGUUUUGGUUUUAUAGCAAUUUUAUGCGAUACUGUUCAAUUGAAGAAAAACUUCAACUGAUAUACUUUUAAAAGAGAAUAUCGUAUGGUGCCAGGCUUGUUAGAGAAACGUCUUAGACCUUCCAGAUCUGUUUAGCUGCAUGCUGACUACCACCAGUGACAUCAUUCAAUAUCACGUAGAGCACAGUUCACCCAGCCAAGCCUUGACCCACCGAAUCAGGAGUUACAAUGAAACGGUGGUCGUUUUGAGUCAUUGAAUUUUGGGGUAAUUUGUUAUGCAGUAACUAGAACGAACAUACACUAUGCACCACCCAUCACCUGAGCCUAAACUACUGGCUCAGAGUCGGACAAUCAGCUCUAAUGCAUCUUUUGGAGCGAAAAUUAAUAUAAGACCCGGUCUUAUAUAAGAUCCGGUUUUAUUAUAGUAAAAUAAGACUGGGUCUUAUAUUAAUUUUUGCUCCAAAAUACGCAUUAGAGUUGACUAUCCGGCUAGGUCUUAUUUUCGGGGAAACAUUGUAGUUUGCCUUUCUCAUAGUGUUCAGUAUUUACUGAUAUAACCCUUUUCAUUUCAGAACCUCCCCCUACUGCUACCUAAUUUCCCAUUUCAUUUUGAGGUAUUUCAUUUCUUUUAUAAAGCACUCAUCUGCUUAUGCCACUUAAUUACAGGUCAUGCUACUGACCCUGCCUCUUGGAAGCUCUUAGUAAUUGGAAGCAUUGCUUCUUCACUUUUAAAAGUGGAAACAUUUCCCUUUUAAAUUGUGUAACAAUAAGAUGACUUUUACAUUUUAAUUAGUCAGAUGCUUGGGGAAUUGGUUAACUAGAAAGCAUUUUUUGUUUAAAUCCUUACUGAAAACUUUUCAAUAAAAUUUAAGUAGUAAUUUUGAACAAUAGUUAUUGCUUGAGAGACUGAACUGGAUGAGUAUCUGCACAUUACAGAAAUAGUGUUAAAAUUUUUUUCAUAUAAUCAUGUUCCCUUCUAACUUGCUAUUUCUAAGAGUGGGAUCCCAUGAAUUUAAGUUACUCAAGGUUUUACCGAGCUUUUCUAUACAGUCUUCUCUGCCCCUCACCCCUUUUCCUUUUCUUUAAAACCCUGCCAUUUAUCCUCUGGACAGCCAAGGAUGGCCUCUCAUCAGACAUCCUUAAUUAUGGGGGACCCAUGAGACAUUUUCUUAGGUCUUACUAAUAGGAAUAAUGGUGUUUAUCUAAAGUCGAUGUUUUUAUCUAAUAACAGAACACUGAACACAGAACUGAUUUUUUUGUGUUAGAUGCUAGAAAGCUCAAAGCCCCCUCUUAUCAACCGUUGCAGUUAAGUUUCAGAAUUGUUUUAUUAACUUCAUCUUGACUUCAUUUAAUUUCUUCCAUCCUCACUUUCCUCCCCAUAAUUUCCUCACUUAAAACAAAAAACUAGCUGUGUUGUACACAUUUUUUAUAAGCUGUCUUAAAAACAUUUUGGGACAAGAUGGGCAAUUUUAGAAAUUGUUCAAGAUUGUAAGGUAUUUCGAAGGCCCCUUUUCAUCAGUUUUAACCCAAACUUUCUAGGUUGUCUUCAUUAUCUUUUAAGUUCCUUUUACAGCUUCAUUUAGCUCUCUGAUCAUAUAUACUAACAUACAUUUGCUCUAAGAACACUUGUACCAUUCCUUUGGUUUCAACUAUGACUUUUAUACUGGCCACAAGCAGACCCCGUAUCUCUGUACAGAGUUCUGUAUUUUCUGGACCUGAAUUUACAGUUGACGAAAGGGCAUUUCCAUUUGUCUGUCUACCUACCUACCUACCUACACAU